RNAcentral lists this ribosomal RNA (465 nucleotides) under uncultured bacterium. Its description in RNAcentral is "partial 16S ribosomal RNA". It matches the Rfam family "Bacterial small subunit ribosomal RNA", at positions 339 to 795 of the family's 1533-position model. The record is from RNAcentral.
CUACGGGAUGCUCCAGUGAGGAAUUUUGCGCAAUGGGGGAAACCCUGACGCAGCAACGCCGCGUGAGUGAUGAAGGCCUUCGGGUCGUAAAGCUCUGUCAAGUGGGAAGAACCUACCUAUGGGUAAUAUUCAUGGGUACUGACGGUACCACUGAAGGAAGCACCGGCUAACUCCGUGCCAGCAGCCGCGGUAAUACGGGGGGUGCAAGCGUUAUUCGGAAUUAUUGGGCGUAAAGGGCGCGUAGGCGGUUUUGUUAGUCAGAUGUGAAAGCCCGGGGCUCAACCCCGGAAGUGCAUUUGAUACUGCAAGACUUGAGUAUGGGAGAGGGAAGUGGAAUUCCUGGUGUAGAGGUGAUAUUCGUAGAUAUCAGGAGGAACAUCUGUGGCGAAGGCGACUUCCUGGACCAAUACUGACGCUAAGGCGCGAAGGCGUGGGUAGCAAACAGGAUUAGAUACCCUUGUAGUC